This 70-nucleotide transfer RNA is filed under the name Pyricularia oryzae. RNAcentral's name for it is "tRNA-Ile". It matches the Rfam family "tRNA". From Rfam's summary of the family: Transfer RNA (tRNA) molecules are approximately 80 nucleotides in length. Their secondary structure includes four short double-helical elements and three loops (D, anti-codon, and T loops). The record is from RNAcentral. Lineage: Eukaryota; Fungi; Ascomycota; Sordariomycetes; Magnaporthales; Pyriculariaceae.
AAUAGUAUAGUUUAAAGGUAAAAUAGUGAGCUUAUCUCAUACAUUGAAGGUUCAAGUCCUUCUACUAUUU